GUCACAGUUACAUGACAACCUCUACAAAUUAAGUUCGAAGUGUGUGUGCAAUAGAAUUUCAUCUUUGAUUUCAUCACUGUUAAUUAUGUCAACAAUUAGGAAGGAAUCACGUAAAUUUUUCAACUUUCUGCCAACGGACUGGUCAGUAAACAUUUGGAUAGUCACAAGGCUCAUUUCAUAUUUUGUUAUUCUACUACAAUUUACAACUGCAGAACAAAAUGCAAAUAGGGAUGGUUUUUAAGUUGGGCAAUUUAUAAAAGAAAAGGUUGAACGUUCUG
This 278-nucleotide long non-coding RNA is filed under the name Agrilus planipennis (emerald ash borer). RNAcentral's name for it is "uncharacterized LOC112904696, transcript variant X2". The record is from RNAcentral. Lineage: Eukaryota; Metazoa; Arthropoda; Insecta; Coleoptera; Buprestidae.